This is a long non-coding RNA of Panicum virgatum (switchgrass), 567 nucleotides long. RefSeq lists it as uncharacterized. NCBI's taxonomy places the organism in Eukaryota, Viridiplantae, Streptophyta, Magnoliopsida, Poales, Poaceae. The transcript has 2 exons. The record is from RefSeq and is a predicted model, not a curated record.
GCAGUCCAUGGCCGAGCGGUUUGACAUCCCACCGCCAUCACCGUCGCCAUCGCCGCCAGCCACAUGAUGAUGCAGUCGUCAGGGAUUUGGCUCUCCUGGGAGCCUCUGUGUCAGCAAGUGCCGCCGGUGCCCCACAGCUUAUCGAUGCUCCAUCUGCCCAUGGCGGUGAGGACGGAUCAUUGAGAAUUUGAGAUGCCACCAUGCAUGGACCUUGCUGCCGGAUACGACAAGGUUCUCCCAGCAUCGAUCCUCCGAUCCUCUGGAGGAGUUCAAUUGGAUCGCCCGGUAAUGUUGAUCUUUGAUUCGUACCUCAUAAGUUGAUGCUUAGUUUGGUUGUAUUGUAACUGGCUUGUCAGUACUUGAGAUUUGGUUUUGUGGCUGCUAGAAAUUUUGACGUUUGGAUUUGUUAGUGUUGUGCUUUUAGCGACGGUCAUUUAAUUUUCCUGUCGUUGGUGUUUAGGACUUGGAUGGUUACUGUAACUGCGUGCAGGUGCAGCUUAUCUGUCUCAGUCGUCGUGUUUUUUGUGUUUUCUGACCAGUCACCAUAGUCAAAUCCCAAUUAUUUUA